CUCUUCCCUCUCCACUCGUUCCCCUCCCCACCGCCCACAGCCCCACGUCCCUGCCUGACGCCGACGCCGCACACCGCACACCGCUAUCGCCCGGGGCCCAACCGCUCCAUCCGCCCGCACGAGCGCCUCUUCCCGCGGCCGCACGGCGCGCGCGCCCCGGCAACUCCAAGGAAGCCGCUGCCCUUCUCCGCCGCUCCAGUUCCUCGAUUCUAAACCCCUAGAACAGUGAGCACCACCAGCGGAGCACCGGAUACUCCGGCGGCUUCCCAUCCUUCGCGCAGCUGCGCACCCCUGCACCGCCUCUCUCUCCGGUCCUCCCCCGCCGCACUAGCACGCUCCGGGUCUUUCACCCCCGCCCCGUUCGCUCUCUGGAGCUUAAUGGUAUUCCUCCUGGCGCUUCACGAACUGGGCGCUGCGGGGGUCACGAAGGGUGUCUGCUGGCCGGCCGGCGGCCGCCCCAAUGAUCGCCCCCUCCUCUGCGCAAUCAUGGCUUAAGGGUGGCAGCGAGAGUCAUCUAGCUAGGGCGAUCUCCUUAGAGUUUCGGUGGGGGCGCUCCAAAAUGAUGUGCUCCAGAAUGAGGUUUAGGAAUGCUCUUGGUUCUCGUCUCUUCCGGUGGUGUUCACGUGAUAAACACACGUCCGUGCGGAAGCUGUUGGAGGUGGAUGGGAUAUCAGAGAGAUCAAAGCUCCUCAACAAAGUGCCUGUUUUGAUGGGCUAUAGUAACACACAAUAUUUAAUGGAGCAAGAAAGAGUCCGCAAAGAAUCUGCCACGGAGUUGAUCAGUGUCUUGAAAGAAAUUGAUUUUGCAGAAAUUUCGGCUAAGUUCCCAUGCAUAAAAAUCGGUGACUCAUCACCAAUUGAACUAUAUGAUGAUUCUGCUGGUCCAUCUCCAGCAAAUGUAAAUGAUCUUUCAAUCAGUGAAGAGAGUUCUCUCAUCACUCAGCAUAUUUCUGGUGAACCAGCAGUUGAUGGGGAAGUUUGCCCCGAGUUAUUAGCUGAUGCUACAACUGCUGAUGGUAAUGUCUUGGACAAAAGUAAAAGGUGUUUGCCUGGAGAACCGGCAUUUGUUACAGAAGCUUGUCCUGAGUCAUUAGCUGAUGCUACAAGUCCUGAUAAUAAUAUCUUGGACAAAGAUAUAAGGUCCUUGCCUGGAACAACUAGUAAGCAAUAUCGUAAGCUAGAGGACGGUGGUUUCCAUACGAUCCGCAAAUUGCUGCAGCAUUUCCCUAGGACCUAUGCUGAUCUACAAAAUCCUCAAGGUCUAAUAGAAGAUGGACAGUACAUCAUGUUCUUUGGAACUGUUAUAUCUUCCAAGGGGGUCAGGAUUAGAAGUACUUUAGGUUUCGUUGAGGUUGUUGUUGGUUGUUCAAUAGUUGAGGCCAAGUUAAGCUCUUCAGAUGUGAGUUGUAACUCUGGAGCAGAGCAAAAACAGAGGAUUCAUUUGCACCUCAAGAAGUUCUUCAGUGGCCAACGUUUCUCUUCUCAAUAUUUUCUUAACUGUAUAUCAUCAAAACACAAAGAGGGGGAUAUUGUUUAUGUCAGUGGUAAGGUCAAGAAGGUACUUUCUAGUGGGCAUUAUGAUUUGAAGGAGUACACUAUUGACAAGCUCGAAGAAGAGGAGCAACAAAGUACCCUGCUUGAUGGGAAACCAUAUCCUAUAUAUCCAUCAAAAGCGGGACUGGAAGCACGUUUGCUGGGACAGUCCAUCUCUAGGGCCUUGAAGAUGCUGACUCCAGACAUUGAUCCUAUCCCUCCUGAGGUUCUCACCGAGUUCAACUUGGCAAAUCUGUUCGAUGCUUACAUGGGGAUUCACAAACCUAAGAAUCGAGAUGAAGCUGAUUUUGCUCGCCGAAGGCUUAUAUUCGAUGAUUUCUUUUAUCUCCAGCUGGGGAGACUAUUUCAAAUGCUUGAAGCAGUUGGUACACGGGUUGAGAAGGAAGAAUUGCUAUAUAAGUGUGAAAAUCAUGAGUUAAAUGCUGUUGGUGUCGAUCAGUGGUCUCCUCUGGCCAAUAAAUUGUUGAAGGCUCUUCCUUAUUCACUUACUGCUAGUCAACUAAAUGCUGUUAAAGAGAUUAUAUGGGACCUCAGAAGACCAGUUCCUAUGAACAGGCUCUUGCAAGGGGAUGUUGGGUGUGGUAAAACUAUAGUUGCUUUCCUAGCAUGUAUGGAGGUUGUUAACUCAGGAUUUCAGGCUGCUUUCAUGGUUCCAACUGAGAUACUUGCUGUUCAGCAUUAUGAACACCUAACUUCAUUGCUGGAGAAGUUAGAUGGAGAUGAAUGCAAACCAAAUAUUGCCUUGCUAACUGGUUCAACUUCCACCAGAGAGUCGAGGAUAAUUCGGAAUGGUCUCAAGACUGGAGAAAUAUCAAUGGUCAUUGGAACACACACCUUAAUAGCUGAUAAAACUGACUUUUCAGCUUUACGUAUCUCUGUUAUAGAUGAGCAGCAACGUUUUGGUGUUAUCCAACGAGGAAGGUUCAAUAAUAAGCUGUAUACUUCAUCUUCAAAGCUGAGUGAUGAAAAUACAAGCGCAGAUGAGGCUUCUGAUUCUGAAACAUUUAUGGCUCCCCAUGUUCUUGCUAUGUCAGCUACCCCAAUUCCAAGAACACUGGCUCUUGCUUUAUAUGGGGAUAUGUCUCUUACUCAGAUUACAGAUUUGCCUCCAGGAAGGCAACCCAUAGAAACUCUUGCUCUUGAAGGAAAUGAUGCUGGGUUUGAAACUGUCUUCCAGAUGAUGAGGGAUGAGCUUAUGGAUGGGGGCAAAGUGUAUCUCGUUUAUCCUAUCAUAGAAGAAUCAGAGCACCUACCACAACUUCAUGCUGCCAAAGCUGAUUUUGAUUCGAUAAAACAGAAGUUUGAAGGCUAUCCAUGUGGGUUGCUGCAUGGCCGCAUGAAGGGCGCCGAGAAGGAUGAAGCUCUGGGCAGUUUCAGAUCCGGGGAAACGCGUAUUCUCCUGGCGACGCAAGUUAUUGAGAUCGGAGUCGAUGUUCCUGAUGCUUCUAUGAUGAUUGUCAUGAAUGCCGAGAGAUUCGGAAUGUCUCAGCUGCACCAGUUAAGAGGGCGGGUCGGUCGCGGGGGAAAGAAAUCCAGAUGCGUGUUCCUGUCCUCCACUUCCAGCACAUUGCCAAGGUUGAAGGUGCUUGAAAAUUCAUCCGAUGGGUUCCACCUAGCUAACGCCGACCUGGUGAUGCGUGGCCCUGGCGAUCUACUUGGCAAGAAACAGUCGGGGCAUCUUCCGGAGUUUCCAAUAGCCAGACUGGAGAUUGAUGGGAGUAUUCUGCAAGAAGCCCAUCUUGUUGCACUAAAAAUUUUGGGAACGAGCAACGACCUAUCGUUGUUUCCACGUCUGAAAGUGGAGCUCAGCAUGAGGCAGCCGCUAUGCCUUCUUGGAGAUUGACCUCACCUGUUCGCGGAACCGACAAUACAAUGCGGCCCUGCCAUGACGGCAUGUGCCGUAUAAGGCAUCCUAGUGUGCAUUGUAUUGAAACUAGUUCUGGUGGCAAAGCUGGCAUGGCCAUAUGUUGUUGGGUGUAGCAACGCUCUAAACCUGUUGAAAGAUGCGUAUAUUGUGCGAUCAAGACAUGGUUAAUGGCGAGAUGGUACUUCUAAUUUAGGCUAAUUUAUGUUUGCAGAGAAAUUGUGAAAUGCCAUCUCUUUUGGAGGAUGCGUUUCUCUCUUUUAUUCGAGGGAAAGGAAUAGCAGGCGAGCU
Molecule: ribosomal RNA, 3709 nt
Filed under: Triticum aestivum (bread wheat)
Lineage: Eukaryota; Viridiplantae; Streptophyta; Magnoliopsida; Poales; Poaceae
Description: partial small subunit ribosomal RNA
Source: RNAcentral